Molecule: ribosomal RNA, 515 nt
Filed under: uncultured bacterium
Lineage: Bacteria
Description: partial 16S ribosomal RNA
Rfam family: Bacterial small subunit ribosomal RNA
Source: RNAcentral
GAUGAACGCUGGCGGCGUGCCUAAUACAUGCAAGUCGAGCGAAUGGAUUAAGAGCUUGCUCUUAUGAAGUUAGCGGCGGACGGGUGAGUAACACGUGGGUAACCUGCCCAUAAGACUGGGAUAACUCCGGGAAACCGGGGCUAAUACCGGAUAACAUUUUGAACCGCAUGGUUCGAAAUUGAAAGGCGGCUUCGGCUGUCACUUAUGGAUGGACCCGCGUCGCAUUAGCUAGUUGGUGAGGUAACGGCUCACCAAGGCAACGAUGCGUAGCCGACCUGAGAGGGUGAUCGGCCACACUGGGACUGAGACACGGCCCAGACUCCUACGGGAAGCAGCAGUAGGGAAUCUUCCGCAAUGGACGAAAGUCUGACGGAGCAACGCCGCGUGAGUGAAGAAGGCUUUCGGGUCGUAAAACUCCGUUGUUAGGGAAGAACAAGUGCUAGUUGAAUAAGCUGGCACCUUGACGGUACCUAACCAGAAAGCCACGGCUAACUACGUGCCAGCCGCCGCAGUAA